This 478-nucleotide ribosomal RNA is filed under the name uncultured Escherichia sp. RNAcentral describes it as "bacterial SSU rRNA". It matches the Rfam family "Bacterial small subunit ribosomal RNA", at positions 30 to 495 of the family's 1533-position model. Lineage: Bacteria; Pseudomonadati; Pseudomonadota; Gammaproteobacteria; Enterobacterales; Enterobacteriaceae. The record is from RNAcentral.
AUUGAACGCUGGCGGCAGGCCUAACACAUGCAAGUCGAACGGUAACAGGAAGCAGCUUGCUGCUUUGCUGACGAGUGGCGGACGGGUGAGUAAUGUCUGGGAAACUGCCUGAUGGAGGGGGAUAACUACUGGAAACGGUAGCUAAUACCGCAUAACGUCGCAAGACCAAAGAGGGGGACCUUCGGGCCUCUUGCCAUCGGAUGUGCCCAGAUGGGAUUAGCUAGUAGGUGGGGUAAAGGCUCACCUAAGCGACGAUCCCUAGCUGGUCUGAGAGGAUGACCAGCCACACUGGAACUGAGACACGGUCCAGACUCCUACGGGAGGCAGCAGUGGGGAAUAUUGCACAAUGGGCGCAAGCCUGAUGCAGCCAUGCCGCGUGUAUGAAGAAGGCCUUCGGGUUGUAAAGUACUUUCAGCGGGGAGGAAGGGAGUAAAGUUAAUACCUUUGCUCAUUGACGUUACCCGCAGAAGAAGCACCG